UAAAAAAUAUUGUGGUAGCAUCUCCUUUUGUUUCUGUUAGUAUAUUUCUUCCUUAAAUUACCAUUUUAUCUGAGAGUACCGUGAUUUUGUUUAGUGUUUGUCAGUUGUAUCUUUUACAGUUAUCUUGUUUUGUCUUUUUGCCUUAGAUAUAGUUCUCAUAGACAGAACUUAACACCAAUUUUUAAGCCAAAUUGAACUUAUUUGCAUAAAACCUAAUCCAUCUAUAUUUAUUGUUAUUACUGAUAUAUUUAAACUUAUUUAUGUCAUCUUACCAUUUUCUUUACUCCUGUGGUACUCUUUUGAAAUGGGAAAGUUUUUACAAAUUCUCUUUAAUGGUUGUCCUUGAAUUUUUUAAUAAACAUUUUUGUAAUUUCCCCCCAAAUCUCCCAUAGAAAUUUAAAUUGCCCUGCAAUGCUCUUUCCCCUGGAGUGCUUAAAACAUUAUACAUAUGCACAAACAUGAGGGUAGAAAACUCUCAUCACUUCCCAAAAACUAUACAGUAGCCAAGGAAAAUGUUUGUGUAUCAAUGCUAAGCAAGUAGGAAGACCCAAAAUUUGAGUGUUUCAUUGGUGAAAGUAUGUAAUAUAAUAUUGUUUUGAUCUUCAUUGUCCCAUAUUCAGCAUGUUAUAUACUGUAUUUUAUCUCUUCUUGAAGAAACAGUGAAUGAAACUUGAAAAACAGAGUGACACAAACUGUGAAAUAAGCCAGAGUGUUACUACAGCAUCGGUUCUCACAAAGAUUUGUCUAGAUAUGAAGAUAGAAACUCUGCUGGAGCUGCUGCAUAUGUCUUACUUGGACAUCUAAUAAGGCUCAGCCAGCAUGAUGUCACCAGUGCACUGGGCCAACCAGCCCUUCUGUGGGGUGGAAAGGUGAGCAAAGAAAAUGAAAAUGUAUUCCACUGUCUUCCAGCUCCCUUUAUUUCCAUCAAGAAAUCUGCUGUCAUAUCCUUUGUUGGUUAUUUUAGUUUUCACUUUCAUUCAGUUUUAAGUACUUUUCUUAAUCUUAUUCUACAGCUGUUAAUACAAUGUUUCUUGGCAGAUUUUUGGGUCAAUGUACUUAGGAUACAUUAUAGUUUCUGACCCCUAGUGAUGCUAUGGACAUUUGGCUUGGAACAGCUCAAUCUCUCCAAUUUCUUUUGUGUUCACUGUUUCAAGGUCUGGAUUUAGCUCAUUUUUUUUUUUUUCAGGGAGAAAGUAAAUCUUCAGAUAUUUUAUUUUAUGAGAAUCCACAAUGCAAUUAAACAUUUAUUAUAUACAGUAUCUAGUUAUAUUUUAGUGGGAGCCCUUCAAAAUGCUGCCCAUUGAAAAUAUUCAGCCCAGAAUAUUUACCAUAAAUUCCAUGUCUGAAAUAACUAUAUUGUUAACAUACUGGAAUGAUAUAAAAUAAUUUUAAAGAUUAUCAAAACACCUGGC
Molecule: long non-coding RNA, 1412 nt
Filed under: Sus scrofa (pig)
Lineage: Eukaryota; Metazoa; Chordata; Mammalia; Artiodactyla; Suidae
Description: lncRNA (ENSSSCG00040031032.1)
Source: RNAcentral